CCUACGGGAGGCAGCAGUAGGGAAUCUUUCACAAUGGGCGAAAGCCUGAUGGAGCAACGCCGCGUGCAGGAUGAAGGCCUUCGGGUUGUAAACUGCUUUUAUAAGCGAGAAAUAUGAUGGUAACUUAUGAAUAAGGAUCGGCUAACUACGUGCCAGCAGCCGCGGUCAUACGUAGGAUCCGAGCAUUAUCCGGAGUGACUGGGUGUAAAGAGUUGCGUAGGUGGCAUAAUAAGUAGCUAGUGAAAUCUGGUGGCGCAACCAUUCAGACUAUUAGCUAAACUGUUAAGCUCGAGACCGUUAGGGGUAACUGGAAUUUCUAGUGUAGGAGUGAAAUCCGUAGAUAUUAGAAGGAACACCAAUAGCGUAGGCAGGUUGCUGGGACGGUUCUGACACUAAGGCACGAAAGCGUAGGGAGCAAACGGGAUUAGAUACCCGUGUAGUC
RNAcentral lists this ribosomal RNA (442 nucleotides) under uncultured bacterium. RNAcentral's name for it is "partial 16S ribosomal RNA". It matches the Rfam family "Bacterial small subunit ribosomal RNA", at positions 338 to 795 of the family's 1533-position model. The record is from RNAcentral.